Molecule: transfer RNA, 83 nt
Organism: Trichosporon asahii var. asahii CBS 8904
Lineage: Eukaryota; Fungi; Basidiomycota; Tremellomycetes; Trichosporonales; Trichosporonaceae
Rfam family: tRNA
About the family: Transfer RNA (tRNA) molecules are approximately 80 nucleotides in length. Their secondary structure includes four short double-helical elements and three loops (D, anti-codon, and T loops).
Source: Rfam
GGUUCCUUAGUACAGUGGUUUAGUACCCGGGAUUUUGACCUUACAGCAUUCCCGUAACCCGGGUUCGAACCCCGGAGGAACCU